RNAcentral lists this ribosomal RNA (273 nucleotides) under uncultured Dialister sp. RNAcentral describes it as "partial 16S ribosomal RNA". It matches the Rfam family "Bacterial small subunit ribosomal RNA", at positions 83 to 339 of the family's 1533-position model. The record is from RNAcentral. Lineage: Bacteria; Bacillati; Bacillota; Negativicutes; Veillonellales; Veillonellaceae.
UUUCUCGAGCGAGUGGCGAACGGGUGAGUAACGCGUGAGGAACCUGCCUCAAAGAGGGGGACAACAGACGGAAACGACUGCUAAUACCGAAUAAGUUCCAAGAGCCGCAUGGCCCAUGGAAGAAAAGGUGGCCUCUACCUGUAAGCUAUCGCCUGAAGAGGGGUUUGCGUCUGAUUAGCUAGUUGGUGUGGUAACGGCAUACCAAGGCGACGAUCAGUAGCCGGUCUGAGAGGAUGAACGGCCACACUGGAACUGAGACACGGUCCAGACUCC